This 503-nucleotide ribosomal RNA is filed under the name uncultured bacterium. RNAcentral's name for it is "partial 16S ribosomal RNA". It matches the Rfam family "Bacterial small subunit ribosomal RNA", at positions 28 to 523 of the family's 1533-position model. The record is from RNAcentral.
GAUAAACGCUAGCGGCAGGCUUAACACAUGCAAGUCGAGGGGCAGCAUAGAUUGUAGCAAUACAAUUGGUGGCGACCGGCGCACGGGUGCGUAACGCGUAUGCAACCUACCCGUCACAGGGGGAUAAUCCGGAGAAAUCUGGUCUAAUACCCCAUAACAUAUGGAUCGGCAUCGGCUCAUGUUGAAAUUUUCGGAGGUGACGGAUGGGCAUGCGUAGCAUUAGCUUGUUGGUGAGGUAACGGCUCACCAAGGCGACGAUGCUUAGGGGGACUGAGAGGUUUUCCCCCACACUGGUACUGAGACACGGACCAGACUCCUACGGGAGGCAGCAGUGAGGAAUAUUGGUCAAUGGGCGCAAGCCUGAACCAGCCAUGCCGCGUGCAGGAUGACGGCUCUAUGAGUUGUAAACUGCUUUUGUACGAGGGUAAAGUGGGUUACGUGUAACCUUUUGAAAGUAUCGUACGAAUAAGGAUCGGCUAACUCCGUGCCAGCCGCCGCCGUAA